This is a long non-coding RNA of Neofelis nebulosa (Clouded leopard), 815 nucleotides long. RefSeq lists it as uncharacterized. The transcript is spliced from 2 exons. NCBI's taxonomy places the organism in Eukaryota, Metazoa, Chordata, Mammalia, Carnivora, Felidae. The record is from RefSeq and is a predicted model, not a curated record.
UUCCAGCCGCGGGGCCCGCCCACUGUCACGGAGUGGACUCCCGGCCAAUCAGACCCGGGUGAUGCCACGCCGGAGAUGAGAGUGGCAGGAAAUCAAGGUCAAGGCCCCGGACACAAUGGGGCCAUUGUCCAUCUCCAGUCAGUUGACUCUCAAGCAGCAGUUCCCCAUCCACCCUCGGUCCUUCUCCUCUUCCCCGCCCCUUGCCAGGAAGUCACCUAAACCCCCUGCCUCCUUUUCACAGCCGCCGCCCAAGGGAAGCCUCAACAAUCUGAAUCCUACCCUGGACGGAGGAGCUUGGCCGCCCCUGCAUGGUCACCAAGGUCUGGAAACUCAAGGGCUCUUCUCUCAGCAAAUGGCAAAAUGGCCGUGAACUGCAGCCCUUUCCUUGAUGGAGACGAAAGCUGAGGGAAACGUCUACUACGCAAAUCACAGCAGGUGCAAAUCACAGCAGGUGAAACUGACCACCGCUAUGGCCUCGAUUAAUCAAUUGGCUGAUUGAUUGAUUAUGUUACGGUAUAAAUGUUACCUCCGAAAGGCCUCCUCCCCUGUCUCAAUGAUGUCCUCCCAUAUUGUUCUGCCCCAAAACCAGCUGUAGUUUUCCUUCUUGGCCUGUAUCACAGUUUGUAAUUGGAUACGUAUUUUAUUCUUUUCCACUAGAAUAUAUGCUCGAUGAGAGCAGAGUUUGGGUCUGUUUUUGUUCACCAGUGUAUCCUUGGCACCUAGUACAGGAUCUGGCAUACAGCAGGUGUUCAAUAAAUAUGAAUGAGUGCCCUACUGAGCCCUGGGUGUGGGACAGGGCUUCACGUUCCAGUCAA